This 1223-nucleotide ribosomal RNA is filed under the name Herbaspirillum sp. Its description in RNAcentral is "bacterial SSU rRNA". It matches the Rfam family "Bacterial small subunit ribosomal RNA", at positions 62 to 1280 of the family's 1533-position model. The record is from RNAcentral. Lineage: Bacteria; Pseudomonadati; Pseudomonadota; Betaproteobacteria; Burkholderiales; Oxalobacteraceae.
UUGGAAGGCAGCAUAGGAGCUUGCUCCUGAUGGCGAGUGGCGAACGGGUGAGUAAUAUAUCGGAACGUGCCCUAGAGUGGGGGAUAACUAGUCGAAAGACUAGCUAAUACCGCAUACGAUCUACGGAUGAAAGUGGGGGAUCGCAAGACCUCAUGCUCCUGGAGCGGCCGAUAUCUGAUUAGCUAGUUGGUGGGGUAAAAGCCUACCAAGGCAACGAUCAGUAGCUGGUCUGAGAGGACGACCAGCCACACUGGGACUGAGACACGGCCCAGACUCCUACGGGAGGCAGCAGUGGGGAAUUUUGGACAAUGGGGGCAACCCUGAUCCAGCAAUGCCGCGUGAGUGAAGAAGGCCUUCGGGUUGUAAAGCUCUUUUGUCAGGGAAGAAACGGUAGUAGCGAAUAACUAUUACUAAUGACGGUACCUGAAGAAUAAGCACCGGCUAACUACGUGCCAGCAGCCGCGGUAAUACGUAGGGUGCAAGCGUUAAUCGGAAUUACUGGGCGUAAAGCGUGCGCAGGCGGUUGUGUAAGUCAGAUGUGAAAUCCCCGGGCUCAACCUGGGAAUUGCAUUUGAGACUGCACGGCUAGAGUGUGUCAGAGGGGGGUAGAAUUCCACGUGUAGCAGUGAAAUGCGUAGAUAUGUGGAGGAAUACCGAUGGCGAAGGCAGCCCCCUGGGAUAACACUGACGCUCAUGCACGAAAGCGUGGGGAGCAAACAGGAUUAGAUACCCUGGUAGUCCACGCCCUAAACGAUGUCUACUAGUUGUCGGGUCUUAAUUGACUUGGUAACGCAGCUAACGCGUGAAGUAGACCGCCUGGGGAGUACGGUCGCAAGAUUAAAACUCAAAGGAAUUGACGGGGACCCGCACAAGCGGUGGAUGAUGUGGAUUAAUUCGAUGCAACGCGAAAAACCUUACCUACCCUUGACAUGGAUGGAAUCCUGAAGAGAUUUGGGAGUGCUCGAAAGAGAACCAUCACACAGGUGCUGCAUGGGCUGUCGUCAGCUCGUGUCGUGAGAUGUUGGGUUAAGGUCCCGCAACGAGCGCAACCCUUGUCAUUAGUUGCUACGAAAGGGCACUCUAAUGAGACUGCCGUGACAAAUCGGAGAAGGUGGGGAUGACGUCAAGUCUUCAUGUCCUUAUGGCUAGGCUCACAACGUUCAUAACAAGUGUACAUACGAGGGUCCGCCAAAUCCUGGCGAGGGAAGACCUUAUUCCUCAGU